GCAGAGUGGAGAUAGUGUGGAAUAGGUAAUUUAAUGCAUCUAACAUUUGCUUGUUUUGACUUGUUAAUAACCAGGUCAACAUCGGUCAGAGGGAUCUGAGCACAAUCAUUGCCAUCUUCAAAGAAAACUUGGAAGAAAAAGAAGUCAUUGAGUCACACAACCAAGUGUCAACCCCACUGUCUCCGCCUCUGAUGGUUUCCCCGGCACCUGCGGAUGACCCUGUCAAGAGGCUGGAGACUUUCCUGACAAGCUCAGUUGAUGUCUACAAAAAGACAAAUGUCUUUCUUGCCCUGGAGGGGCUGCACUUGGUGCUGUAUACUGAUGCAGAAGAAGCUCAGCACUUGCAAGCCACAAAAACAGACAAGAGCCAAAUGACUGGUGUUGUCCUGUAAAAUAUGCUGAGUGUUUCAUGUAAUUUGAACCAAACUUCAAAAAUAUUGUUGUACAUCUUAGAAGAACAUUACAUCUAUUGUCAUAUUGUUUGCAGUCAUCCUAAGUUACGCAGACAAUUUUUUAACGCU
Molecule: long non-coding RNA, 521 nt
Organism: Dermacentor silvarum
Lineage: Eukaryota; Metazoa; Arthropoda; Arachnida; Ixodida; Ixodidae
Exons: 3
Source: RefSeq, a predicted model, not a curated record